CUACGGGAGGCAGCAGUGGGGAAUAUUGCACAAUGGGGGAAAGCCUGAUGCAGCGACGCCGCGUGAGCGAAGAAGUAUUUCGGUAUGUAAAGCUCUUCAGCAGGGAAGAGAAUGACGGUACCUGACGAGAAGCUCUGGCGAAAUACGUGCGAGCCAG
This 157-nucleotide ribosomal RNA is filed under the name uncultured bacterium. RNAcentral describes it as "partial 16S ribosomal RNA". It matches the Rfam family "Bacterial small subunit ribosomal RNA", at positions 339 to 514 of the family's 1533-position model. The record is from RNAcentral.